RNAcentral lists this long non-coding RNA (597 nucleotides) under Bos taurus (domestic cattle). RNAcentral describes it as "long non-coding RNA NONBTAT016535". The record is from RNAcentral. Lineage: Eukaryota; Metazoa; Chordata; Mammalia; Artiodactyla; Bovidae.
GGAUAUUCAACAUAGCACAUUAUUAAUAUUUGUUUAUUAGUUCCUAUUUAAGAAAGUAGUGUCCUGGAUUUCCAACAUUAGUAAAAUGGUUGGAGAGGCUUAGCUGUGAGCUUACAAGUACACAUCAAGUAAGCACCAGAUCAGAAGAGAAUUUGGUAUUCUGCCACUGUUCAAGUCCUAUGUUGCAAAGUUAGCUUUAAGAUAUUUCUUUAGAUUACUUGAUAAUAACAGUGCUUUAUCAGGUAUUUCCUGUUAACCAGUCAAUCAAGUGACUACCUGAAGACAGCAAAUGAUGAUUAUUUCCAGCUGAGCGUAUUAACGUACCUAUUUCUAGGCAAUCAAGAAUAGUCAAUUAAAGUAAUCAGGAUAUGGAAUUGAAAGAAACAGAAUAAGGUCUGUGUCCUGUAACCUGUAUCAGUUAUGAAAAUACAACAUUCCCACCGUAUUAAAUAAAAGUUUAGGCCAUGCUUAAAUUCAGAGGCAAUUAAAAUUGCUGUUAUGGAUUUUAAAAGCCCUUAGGCAACAUGAGUUAAAGAUUAGGAAAAGUGUUUUUUGUAAGAAUAAAAUCCCAUGUAUUAUGAAACAUAAAAUUGAGAA